Molecule: ribosomal RNA, 118 nt
Filed under: Fukomys damarensis (Damara mole-rat)
Lineage: Eukaryota; Metazoa; Chordata; Mammalia; Rodentia; Bathyergidae
Source: RNAcentral
GUCUGAGGCCAUCCCACCCUGCACCUGCCCUAUCUCAUCUGAUCUCAGAAGCAGAGUCAGGCCUGGUUAGUACUUGGAUGGGAGAAACUUUUUUUAAGUUAUUUUAGGGCAUCAGAUG